GGAUGGUGUCCGGCGCAAAGGCCGGACAAGGUUCGGUCCUAGCUACGGGUUCGUCUACGGUACCGGAACUAUGGAGAACUAGGAUUGACGAACUCCUAGAACUGCUAGAGGAGGAGAUAUCAGAGGAUAUUUUGGAUCAGACGGAAGCCACAAAAAUCUCAGAAAAUUGGAAAAAAUAGCAGACAGGCCCCCGAGAAAGCUAAAUAAAUAGAAUAUGAAGAAGGAAGGAUAAGAAAACAACAGAAAGUUUUGGAACUAACCUAGAUCAGCCCCAGGAGCACAGAGGAAUGGCGAGAACGAUGGAGGUCGACUCGACAAACGCCUAAGGCCGGGAAGGAUGCUAGAGAAAAUUGGAGCUCUCAGGGAAGAAGAGGGGAACUGAGAGAUUCUCUCAAGCAAUGUGAAACCUAUGAAGGAGGAGAACGUGUUUAAAUAGACCCCGGGAUCCGACGCACUUAUGAUUUCGGAUCCCCGUUGGCCGGUCUGUAUUCACCGCGUGUCCCACCCACCUUGACAGGCUGUUGGAAAUGGCAGGCGGCUGGCAAAGUCAUUAUUACGCCA
This 561-nucleotide long non-coding RNA is filed under the name Elaeis guineensis (African oil palm). RNAcentral's name for it is "long non-coding RNA (EGUI_LNC046654)". Lineage: Eukaryota; Viridiplantae; Streptophyta; Magnoliopsida; Arecales; Arecaceae. The record is from RNAcentral.